Molecule: ribosomal RNA, 522 nt
Filed under: Echeneibothrium sp.
Lineage: Eukaryota; Metazoa; Platyhelminthes; Cestoda; Rhinebothriidea; Echeneibothriidae
Description: bacterial SSU rRNA
Rfam family: Eukaryotic small subunit ribosomal RNA
Source: RNAcentral
CUUAGUUGGUGGAGCGAUUUGUCUGGUUAAUUUCGAUAACGAACGAGACUCUAGCCUGCUAAUUAGUGCAUUUGUCCACUGUUCCUGUGUAGGCGGCGUUUGACAGGGCUGCUUCUGUUUGCCUUUGCGUGCUNGUUGCUUUCCUUCGGGAAGUUGAUGAGCGUGUGAGGGUUGGAGGUGGCUGGCUCGGCGUUAGCUUCCGGGUACGGNGCGAAUGUUUACUUCUUAGAGGGACAAGCGGGAGAAGCCGCACGAGAUUGAGCAAUAACAGGUCUGUGAUGCCCUUAGAUGUCCGGGGCCGCACGCGCGCUACAAUGACGGUGCCAACGAGUCUGACCUUCUGGCCCGAAAGGGUUGGGCAAACUGGUCAAUCACCGUCAUGACAGGGAUCGGGGCUUGGAAUUGUUCCCCGUGAACGAGGAAUUCCUAGUAAGUGCAAGUCAUAAGCUUGCGCUGAUUACGUCCCUGCCCUUUGUACACACCGCCCGUCGCUACUACCGAUUGAAUGGUUUAGUAAGGUCC